GAUGAACGCUGACAGAAUGCUUAGCACAUGCAAGUCAACUUGAACUUCGGUUUGGGUGGCGGACGGGUGAGUAACGCGUAAAGAACUUGCCUCACAGCUAGGGACAACAUUUGGAAACGAAUGCUAAUACCUGAUAUUAUGAUUUUAGGGCAUCCUAGAAUUAUGAAAGCUAUAUGCGCUGUGAGAGAGCUUUGCGUCCCAUUAGCUAGUUGGAGAGGUAACGGCUCACCAAGGCGAUGAUGGGUAGCCGGCCUGAGAGGGUGAACGGCCACAAGGGGACUGAGACACGGCCCGUACUCCUACGGGAGGCAGCAGUGGGGAAUAUUGGACAAUGGACCAAGAGUCUGAUCCAGCAAUUCUGUGUGCACGAUGAAGUUUUUCGGAAUGUAAAGUGCUUUCAGUUGGGAAGAAAAAAAUGACGGUACCAACAGAAGAAGUGACGGCUAAAUACGUG
This 454-nucleotide ribosomal RNA is filed under the name uncultured bacterium. Its description in RNAcentral is "partial 16S ribosomal RNA". It matches the Rfam family "Bacterial small subunit ribosomal RNA", at positions 28 to 507 of the family's 1533-position model. The record is from RNAcentral.